GACCGGUUGAUUUUGCAGGAUUGAACGGAUGUUGCUAAUUCCCCGGGCAAAUGUAGUUUAUAUAUAUGGGUGUGGUUUAUAAACCAUAUUGGUAAUUUAGGUACUGCUUAAAAUUGUGACUAGAGUCAAAUACUUUUCGUGGGAUACUCAGGUGGUCAACAUGAGCUACCAAAAUGACUAUGAAGUGUGCCAGACUUUGCAGUGCCAAGAUUGAGGGGGGAGGGGGGUCAUUUCAGCAGGGAGGAAAAUGGCCUUGCAGAAAUUACCUCCCCAAAACUUGCUUCAAACUGUGACUACAGUCAAAUAUUUUUUCGGCAGGGGUGUUGAUUUUGGCACAACCGGGUUUGUGGUCCAUUGCGCAGAAUGGCAUUGCUGGACCGUAGACCGUGGUUCACAGGGGAGAGCAUGUCUAUUAUUGCUAACUAAUUAUGGAGCUAUUUUGUGAUUUCAACAGGUUAAAUUUUUACUAUACUAUACUGUUGAUAAUAUGGUUAAAAGGUAAAAGAAAAAUAAUCGACCGUCAUGGAUGGUGUGCUUUUCCUGAGUACCAGUGCAAAAGAUGCCGGCCUACUUGACAUGGAAUUGUAUGGAUUAGAAUGACAAGCAUACUGAAUGAAUAGACGAAGAAGGAGAGCGAAGAUGGAGACAGAGGAGGGUGAGGAUAAGCUUGUGAUGAGAGCACGAGAGAGGAAGCCAGCUCAGUAGCACCUCUGUAUCUAUCCUUGCUCACGUCUCCCCAGCUGUGAGCUGCACCUCUGUAUCUAUCCCUGCUCACGUCUCCCCAGCUCUGAGCUGCACCUCUGUUGCCCUUCUCCACACGGAUCUACGGUCUUCAGCAUGCAUGUUAUUUUUCUCUGGUUCUCCAGUCAUGGGUAAAGACUUGCCAAGCUGUGCUACGGACCUUAUGCAAAAUACACGAGCUCUGGCAUAGCCAGCCCUGCCGUAGCAUCCCAGUAAGGUAGGCAUUUUUCAGGACUUUCAACUGUUACUCUCACUUUUCUUCUGGCAUUUUACAAGGGUUAGAGGUGUUUGCAUUUUGCAUAUUAUGUUUCAGCUGUUUGGGUAAUAUUAACUGACUGUUUAUGUUAGGAUUUGGCGUUCUGAGUCGACGGGUACUAUUUUGGUUAUUUUAACCUUUCUAGCCUAGACAACAUCCCUGUGGGUACUUCGCCAGAGGGCAGGUUAACUAUUCUGGGGUGGGUCUGUGUGGUGGAGGAUUUAUACAGCGCUCACGAGCCCGGCUGACUGAGCCAAGUUUCCCGGUCGUAAGUUUCAGACAGGGCACUGGAUGAAGCAAAGCGAGCUAUUGACUGAAAGUAUGCCCUGUCUUCACUUGCUGUCUGAUUGAUACACGACAACACUCCGGAUGUAUGGACUAUAAUGGGAUACAUUUUCUGUGGAGCCUUUGAGACCCUCGAAGCGGCGCGUUCGUUUCUCUCCUUGAUAAACAGACCCUGGACAUCAAAGCAUUCCCCCCUCGGACUCAUCCAGUUGUUCCGUAUUAGCAGUAGACCAUAAUGACUUGCGUUACAAAUAAUUGAUAGUGCUGUGUACCGUGUCUCAUUGACUUGUGUUGCAUUACAUUCAUUUGAAUCCUAGCUACCAAUUGUUUCAUGUUAGCCCAGUUAACUGAAGUUCAGGCUUGAUGCGAUUCAUUAACAGCCCAACACAUGCAGUGGAGGGAUCAGUCAUUAGAUUAAAUGGAGUGCCACCACUAGAGUACAGUACAGUACAGAGUCAGCAAGUGCAGGUUACAAUUCGACCUAGUUCACUGCUUGUGUACAAUCGUUUGAAAAGCAACAGUCAUUGUUUUUGAGUGUUAUUGUGUUCCCUCAAUUCUCUAUAGAUACACUUGCGUCAGACCAUCUCGCAAUGCAUUACCAGCC
Esox lucius (northern pike) is the source of this 1886-nucleotide long non-coding RNA. NCBI's taxonomy places the organism in Eukaryota, Metazoa, Chordata, Actinopteri, Esociformes, Esocidae. The record is from Ensembl.